This is a long non-coding RNA of Oncorhynchus tshawytscha (Chinook salmon), 389 nucleotides long. NCBI's taxonomy places the organism in Eukaryota, Metazoa, Chordata, Actinopteri, Salmoniformes, Salmonidae. The record is from Ensembl.
CCCUUUCCCUAUACAACUGACUAGGUAUCGCCCCUUUCCCUAUACAACUGACUAGGUAUCACCCCUUUUCCCUAUACAACUGACUAGGUAUCACCCCUUUUCCCUAUACAACUGACUAGGUAUCACCCCUUUUCCCUAUACAACUGACUAGGUAUCACCCCUUUUCCCUAUACAACUGACUAGGUAUCCCCCCUUUCCCUAUACAACUGACUAGGUAUCCCCCCUUUCCCUAUACAACUGACUAGGUAUCCCACCUUUCCCUAUACAACUGACUAGAGCUGUGUUCGAAUACCCAUACUAACAUAAUGUAUACUACAAACUGACUAGGUAUCCCCCCUUUCCCUAUACAACUGACUAGGUAUCCCCCCUUUCCCUAUACAACUGACUAG